GACAGUCUGGCCGAGCGGUUAAGGCGUUACACUCGAAUUUUUUGCCAUAAACAGUGUAUUAUGGGAAUUUUACCUAAACAAGCAAUGUAAUGGGUUUACCCGCACAGGUUCGAAUCCUGUGGCUGUCG
RNAcentral lists this transfer RNA (128 nucleotides) under Hanseniaspora opuntiae. RNAcentral describes it as "tRNA-Ser". It matches the Rfam family "tRNA". Rfam says of the family: Transfer RNA (tRNA) molecules are approximately 80 nucleotides in length. Their secondary structure includes four short double-helical elements and three loops (D, anti-codon, and T loops). Further hydrogen bonds mediate the characteristic L-shaped molecular structure. tRNAs have two regions of fundamental functional importance: the anti-codon, which is responsible for specific mRNA codon recognition, and the 3' end, to which the tRNAs corresponding amino acid is attached (by aminoacyl-tRNA synthetases). tRNAs cope with the degeneracy of the genetic code in two manners: having more than one tRNA (with a specific anti-codon) for a particular amino acid; and 'wobble' base-pairing, i.e. permitting non-standard base-pairing at the 3rd anti-codon position. The record is from RNAcentral. Lineage: Eukaryota; Fungi; Ascomycota; Saccharomycetes; Saccharomycodales; Saccharomycodaceae.